Molecule: long non-coding RNA, 1109 nt
Organism: Homo sapiens (human)
Lineage: Eukaryota; Metazoa; Chordata; Mammalia; Primates; Hominidae
Product: long independently transcribed non-coding RNA 2688
Exons: 4
Source: RefSeq, marked validated
AAAAUGGGGACGUCGGGAGCAUUCUCUGGACAGCAGGAGAUGCAUGUCGACAGGCUGGCCCUGCCUCUUCCCACCCCAGAGUGAUGCAGCGGUGUCCUGGACCCCUGGGGAGAGGUGACCCCCCCAGCAGGAAGCUGGGCCUGGUUUCUGUCCCUCUGCAGCCACAAGGCCUGGCUAGGAUGCUGGGAGCACCACACCCUGGAGACUCAGCUCACCAAGGACUCAGGGGCGGGGGCUCCCCUGGCACCUGGGAAGCUGGGCCCCCGGCCCCCUGGACUCCCACCCAGACACCAUCUCAACCCAGGCACUUCCCCCGGGCCAGAGGGCAGCCUGGCAGCCCUGGACUCCGGGAGGGCCGAGUCUGGGGAGCUGGACGACGUCACAUUCCACUCUUGAUGAUGCCGCCCCAGUCCUACAAUCUGGACAGCAGGAGAAGCUGCCCAUUUCCUCCAUCUCCGGUCCCUGGAGGUUCCCCGGAUCCUUUCAGGGAAGACCAUGGGCCCUAAACGAUCUUCAUAACAAAACUGAGAAGUGGCCUGGCUUCUUCACUGCGUGCCUGUGUGCUGGGAUCUAGCGUGGCCCGACUGGGCAGCUCCUUUCCUUCCCUGACGCUGCUCCAGGGGAAAGAAGGACCAGGGUCAAUCCGGGGUGCCCCAGGUGGAUCAGCGAAUGCCCCUGAAGCCAGGUGCCAGUUGCAUCCCCGUCAGAUGCCCCCACCCCAGUCUCCUGAGCCUCAUUAGUCACCCCUCAUUUUCCUCUGGGGACCCCAGGCCCCAGCUCCUGUCUGGUUAGAGGCUGAAGGGGUCUGAGCGACACCUACCCUAGGGGACCUCCGGAGGGGUCUUGGUGUCCUCUGACUUCUGUCCUCAGAAGGGAGCUCAGAAUGCAGCUGAGGCUUCCCCUGGGGCCCAGGGUGUCUGUGUCCGAGCCACAGCCAGAGUGUGCCCUGGAGAGUCGCUGGGAUGCACGGUGGGCUCUCGUCAUCCUGUCCCCACUCCAGGCUCAGGCUGGAGCCGUGAUGGCACCGCUGCACUCCAACCUGGGCAACAGAGUGAGACCCUGUCUCUAUAAAAUAAAAACAAAAAUAAAGAAGAGCAUGUGGUUUCUGC